GUUAAAGGUACCCGUACCGCAAACCGACACAGGUGGGUGAGGAGAGUAUCCUAAGGCCAGCGAGAGAACUGUUGUUAAGGAACUCGGCAAAAUGACCCCGUAACUUAGGGAUAAGGGGUGCCACCAUCAGGUGGCCGCAGAGAAUAGGCCCAAGCGACUGUUUACCAAAAACAUAGGUUUCUGCUAAGUCGCAAGACGAUGUAUAGGAGCUGACGCCUGCCCGGUGCUGGAAGGUUAAGGGGAUCUGUUAGAGUAAUCGAAGCAGUGAACUUAAGCCCCAGUAAACGGCGGCCGUAACUAUAACGGUCCUAAGGUAGCGAAAUUCCUUGUCGGGUAAGUUCCGACCCGCACGAAAGGCGUAACGAUUUGGGCACUGUCUCAACAACAGACUCGGUGAAAUUGUAAUUCCGGUGAAGAUGCCGGAUACCUGCGACAGGACGGAAAGACCCCAUGGAGCUUUACUGUAGCUUGACAUUGGGUC
This 481-nucleotide ribosomal RNA is filed under the name Clostridioides difficile. RNAcentral describes it as "bacterial LSU rRNA". It matches the Rfam family "Bacterial large subunit ribosomal RNA", at positions 1631 to 2123 of the family's 2925-position model. Lineage: Bacteria; Bacillati; Bacillota; Clostridia; Peptostreptococcales; Peptostreptococcaceae. The record is from RNAcentral.